GCAGGUCUAUACUACCCCUUAUGUGAUAUAACUUAUGUCACUCACUGGUGUGAAAAAGCCACCCAGGAGUGACACAAGUUAUCCUAUGCGCUGUCCACACUAGUGCUGUCAGUGUGGAAUGCUCUCUCGCCAACAUACAGCCUCUUCACCAGAUGUGCUGCAGCUGCGCCAAUGUAACACUUCUCAUGUAGACUAACCUCAAAACAAACCCCCCACAGCAACUCAAGAAGAACAGAAGUUGAGGUCCCAAAAGCACCAUCAACCUGAUUGUGUUGCACAUGUGAAGUGACCAGAACUGCAAGCAGGACUCAAGAUUCUGGAACACAAUUCCAUGAUCAUGGAAUCACAGAAGACACCAGAAUCCGAUAACGCUAAUUUGGACUGACCCACAAGUUACAGUUGGAAGACAGUUUUAAUAACAAAACAUUGACAUCUUACAAUUUUAAAAAUCUACAGAGGUAAACUAGAAAGCACGUAUACAUUAGUUACCUGAGGAAUUGUUGAACAGCUCCUAAAACUGCCAGUGGAGGUGGUACUUAAGGUUCUCAUUCUGUGUUCAUUGAUGUGAAUCAUACUUUCUUCGUCUCUACAAUAUAUAAAUUGGAUUUUUAUUUCAUCUGGCAAAAAGACAAGACAAAUAUCCUUUGGCUACAAUCCACCAUAUUCUAAUAAUUUUUAUCGAUACAGUCUAAAUUUCCAACACAAUGUAAUAUUUGCAUAACAAGGAAAAUUUACAUUUUGCAAUAUUAACUUGACUUCAAUGUGACGGGUGUUUUAUAACCUCUAAAGAUUUUCAGAUCUGAUUUGUAACAUGAUACAAUGACCAACAUUAAAUGCCAGAAAUGUUCUAAAAAACUAAGUGAUAGUGAUAUUUUAUAUUUAUGCUCAGUAAAUGAUCUUCAUUUCAAAUUUGCUAAGUUUACAUGUAAAAAAAUAA
Mauremys reevesii (Reeves's turtle) is the source of this 937-nucleotide long non-coding RNA. RefSeq lists it as uncharacterized. NCBI's taxonomy places the organism in Eukaryota, Metazoa, Chordata, Testudines, Geoemydidae. The record is from RefSeq and is a predicted model, not a curated record. The transcript has 3 exons.